AGUGAACGCUGGCGGUAGGCCUAACACAUGCAAGUCGAACGGCAGCACAGUAAGAGCUUGCUCUUACGGGUGGCGAGUGGCGGACGGGUGAGGAAUACAUCGGAAUCUACUUUUUCGUGGGGGAUAACGUAGGGAAACUUACGCUAAUACCGCAUACGACCUACGGGUGAAAGCAGGGGAUCUUCUGACCUUGCGCGAUUGAAUGAGCCGAUGUCGGAUUAGCUAGUUGGCGGGGUAAAGGCCCACCAAGGCGACGAUCCGUAGCUGGUCUGAGAGGAUGAUCAGCCACACUGGAACUGAAACACGCUCCAUACUCCUACGAGCAGCACCAGUGGGGAAUAUUGGACAAGGGGCGCAAACAUGAGCAAGCCAUAGCACGUGAGUGAAAAAAGCCUUCGGGUCGGAAAGACCUUUUGUUGGGAAAGAAAAGCAGCAGGUUGAUACCCCGCUGGUCUGACGGUACCCAGAGAAUAAGCACCGGCUAACUUCAUG
Molecule: ribosomal RNA, 492 nt
Filed under: uncultured bacterium
Lineage: Bacteria
Description: partial 16S ribosomal RNA
Rfam family: Bacterial small subunit ribosomal RNA
Source: RNAcentral